RNAcentral lists this ribosomal RNA (253 nucleotides) under uncultured bacterium. Its description in RNAcentral is "partial 16S ribosomal RNA". It matches the Rfam family "Bacterial small subunit ribosomal RNA", at positions 524 to 776 of the family's 1533-position model. The record is from RNAcentral.
UACGUAGGGUGCAAGCGUUGUCCGGAAUUACUGGGCGUAAAGCGCACGUAGGCGGCUUUGUAAGUUAGAGGUGAAAGCCCAGGGCUUAACCCUGGAAUUGCCUUUAAGACUGCAUCGCUAGAAUUGUGGAGAGGUAAGUGGAAUUCCGAGUGUAGAGGUGAAAUUCGUAGAUAUUCGGAAGAACACCAGUGGCGAAGGCGACUUACUGGACACAUAUUGACGCUGAGGUGCGAAAGCGUGGGGAGCAAACAGG